GCCAGCAGUGGAGUAUGUGGUUUAUUCGAAGCAACGCGAAGAACCUUACCAGGUCUUGACAUCGUAUGCAUAGUCUAGAGAUAGAUGAAAUCCCUUCGGGGACAUAUAGACAGGUGGUGCAUGGUUGUCGUCAGCUCGUGUCGUGAGAUGUUGGGUUAAGUCCCGCAACGAGCGCAACCCUUACCAUUAGUUGCUACGCAAGAGCACUCUAAUGGGACUGCCGUUGACAAAACGGAGGAAGGUGGGGAUGACGUCAAAUCAUCAUGCCCCUUAUGACCUGGGCUACACACGUACUACAAUGGC
RNAcentral lists this ribosomal RNA (303 nucleotides) under uncultured bacterium. RNAcentral describes it as "bacterial SSU rRNA". It matches the Rfam family "Bacterial small subunit ribosomal RNA", at positions 928 to 1234 of the family's 1533-position model. The record is from RNAcentral.